UAGCGAAAUUAUGAACUAGAAUAACAAAGACGGCAAUGUUGGCAGCUCCGGCAGCCACGACUAGAACAAGAAUACAUGUGGGAGGUUUGGGACAGAGCGUCAGCAGCGAUGAUCUGCGGAAGAUAUUCUCCGCCGUGGGCACGGUGGAAGGAAUGGACAUCGUAAGGACCAAAAGCCGGAGUUUCGCAUACGUCGACAUACUCCCGUCUUCUUCCCAUUCAAUCUCCAAGCAUUUUAGCAUGUAUAAAGGGUGCGCUUGGAAAGGCGGCAAGCUGAAGCUCGAAAAGGCCAAAGAGCACUUUCUUGCUCGCCUGAAACGGGAAUGGGAGGAGACACAAUCUGAAGCUGAAGCUGAAUAAGGAAGCCGUCAAGCCAAGAAAUCUUCUUCAGAUAGCUCCAAUGGGAAAAACAAGGUUCAUGGUUCCCAAAACAACCAGCUUCGGAUCUUCUUUCCUAGAUUAUCAAAGCAUCUCAGAAAUUUGCCAGGCACUACUGCAUUACAAGAGGUUGCAAAGCCCGUUGGCGAGGAUGCGCUGCAGUCAUCUGCCAGAAAUCAUAGCAACAUAAAGGAGGAAUAUACUGCUUCAGGUGUCGGAAAAGAAAGAGACUCUAUUGAGAGUAUUCUGAAAAGCAAUCAUGAAACCAUCGAUGCCGAUAAGGAUGCUUCUGUUCGGGCAGUUGAGAAUUUAAGCAACUCCGAACCAGACAAAGGUUUCGGUGUAGAUACUAGCACAGGGGAAAGUUGUUCAUUUAUGAGAAGCUCUGCUUCAUUGAAGGAGUGGGCUAAAACCAAGGCCUCCCUGAAAGGGUCACGCAAGAAAAAAAACUAAAGGUGGUUUGAUGUAGUAGCACCCGAGCGUCCUUGUGAAAUUGUUGUUAUUGAUCGAUAUUGU
Hibiscus syriacus is the source of this 893-nucleotide RNA transcript. It is a transcript of the gene named nucleolar protein 8-like, with no coding region annotated. The transcript is spliced from 3 exons. The record is from RefSeq and is a predicted model, not a curated record. NCBI's taxonomy places the organism in Eukaryota, Viridiplantae, Streptophyta, Magnoliopsida, Malvales, Malvaceae.